This 70-nucleotide transfer RNA is filed under the name Aquiflexum gelatinilyticum. RNAcentral describes it as "tRNA-Cys". It matches the Rfam family "tRNA". Rfam says of the family: Transfer RNA (tRNA) molecules are approximately 80 nucleotides in length. Their secondary structure includes four short double-helical elements and three loops (D, anti-codon, and T loops). Further hydrogen bonds mediate the characteristic L-shaped molecular structure. tRNAs have two regions of fundamental functional importance: the anti-codon, which is responsible for specific mRNA codon recognition, and the 3' end, to which the tRNAs corresponding amino acid is attached (by aminoacyl-tRNA synthetases). tRNAs cope with the degeneracy of the genetic code in two manners: having more than one tRNA (with a specific anti-codon) for a particular amino acid; and 'wobble' base-pairing, i.e. permitting non-standard base-pairing at the 3rd anti-codon position. The record is from RNAcentral. Lineage: Bacteria; Pseudomonadati; Bacteroidota; Cytophagia; Cytophagales; Cyclobacteriaceae.
GGUCGAGUGGCCGAGUGUUAGGCGUUAGUCGGCAAGACUUUCUACGGUGGUUCAAAUCCAUCCUCGACCU